UUUUUUUUUUUCUUUUUAGGGCUGCACCUGUGGCAUAUGGGGUCAAAUAGGAGCCAGGGGUCAAAUAGGAGCUGAAACUGCAGGCCUACGCCAUAGCCAUAGCAACACUGGAUUCAAGCUGCAUAUGUGACCUAUGCCACAGCUCACAGCAAAGCCAAAUCCUAAUCCACUGAGCAGGCCAGAGAUUGAACUUAUAUCAUCAUGAAUACUAGUCGGGUUCUUAACCCCCUGAGCCACAGUGGAAACUCCUAUAACAUGCUUUUUAGACUUUAACAAGUAAGUAUCUCAAGAAAUGUUAGAAAUAUUUUUAAAAUAUGAUAUUUUAGGUCUCUGAAAUAAUAAAUAAAAGUUAAUAAAAGUAGACUUGAAAGGAUAUUCUGCCAAAACUCAGGAAAAUUUAGACUCAAAAUAGGUAUUUAUAUCCAGAAACAACAGUUGCUUAAUCAACAGGUGGCCCAAAUUUCAGUAAUUUUGCCCUAAUUUGUGUGCAUUCAAGUGCAAAGACAAGUAUUGUUAUAUUCCUAGACUGUUUUGAUGAUGAUUAGUAAACAAAACAGAUUACAGUGAUAGGUUGUUGCUUGACUCCAAAUUUUGUUGGAUAUAAAAGAAAUCCAAACAGGCAAGGAACAUUGUUAAAGAGUAGGAAUAUCUGAUAAGUGAGAGAAUGUGACAUAGGUGGAGACUCACACAGAUUUGAGGACUGAGAAUCAAUGCAACCUUGCCUUCCCCCAACACCCUUGGCAUGUGGAAAUUUCUGCGCCAGGAAUUGAACCUGCACCAAAGUUGCAACCUAUGCUAUAGCUGGGGGAAUGCCAGAGCCUUAACAUGCUACACCACAAGGGAACUUCCAAUGAAUCUCUCUCUCUCUCUCUUUUUUUUUUUUUUUUGCUUUUAGGGCCACACCUGCGGCAUGUGGAAGUUCCCAAAAUGGGGUCAAAUCAGAGAUGUAGCUGCCUGUCUGCACCACAGCCACAACGGGAACUUCCAAUGCAGUCUUUUUUGAAGGCAACUUGACAGGUUCUUCCAAAAUUUUAAGUAGCAUACCCUUUUAAAGUUAUUAUAGAAAAUACACACACAUGAAAAAAAUAAGAAUGAAAAAUACACAAGUGCUGGAGUUCCCUUUGUGGCUCAGUGGAAAAGAUUCUGACUAGUAUCCAUUAGAAUGCAGGUUCUAUCCCUGGCCUCUUUCAGUAGGUUAAGGAUCUGGUGUUGCCAUGAGCUGCAGUGUAGGUUGCAGAUGCAGCUCUGAUCUGGUGUUGCUGUGGCUGUGGUGUAGGUCGGCGGCUACAGCUCAGUUUCUACCCCUAGCCUGGGAACCUCCAUAUGCUGUGGGUGUGGCCUUAAAAAAAAAAAAAAGAUAUAAGUGAUAAAGAUGAAGGGGGAGGUGCAUGAAGCCAUGCACACAUUUUAGAAAAGUUUGCUGCGGCUUUUGUGAAGGUUACUGCUAGUCACGGGGAGCAGAUACCAUCAUGAAGUGUUUUAAUGUUUUUUUAGAUAUGAGGAGAUGCAAGAAGUGGGUGCAUAAAAUUUUCUCCUAAAAAUAUCUAGUUAUCUGAAGCCCUGUUCUUCCAGUUUUCCCAGAGCACAGAGUGCCUCGCUCCUGGUCUCCACUCUGAGCUCUGCUCAGGGGGUGCUUUGGGUCAGCAGCCAUAGUGGCUCAUGAUUUAAUCCAUGUAGAGGCUGAUGGCAAGUGCCCAAAUCCAAUUCACCGGGAUCAGGCACAGCCUGCCUAGGUUCUAUGUUGACAAGGCUGAAAUAAAGCGGUCAGCCAGACUGAGUUCUCACCUGGAGGGCAGUGGGGAAGAAUCCUCUCACUUAUUCAGGUUGUUGGCUGUGUUACUGUGUUUAUAAGAAAUAUAUAUUUAGUCUCUGUCUGUGAUGUAGGAGUUCCUAAAAUCCUUGCUUAGAAAGUCCUAAGAGAAUGACUAAGUUGUGUUUUGUUAUGUUGAUGAAUCGACUUUUGGACCCCACCUAAGGAUGGGGGCUGUUUUGUUUUGUUUGUUUUGCUUUUUAGGGCUGCAUCCGCAGUGUAUGUAAGUUCCCAGGCUAGGGGUCCAAUCGGAGGAACUGCAGUUCCUGGCUUAUGACACAGCCAUAGCAAUGUGGAUCAAAGCCACGUCUGCAAUGCAUACC
This 2133-nucleotide long non-coding RNA is filed under the name Sus scrofa (pig). Its description in RNAcentral is "lncRNA (ENSSSCG00005007849.1)". Lineage: Eukaryota; Metazoa; Chordata; Mammalia; Artiodactyla; Suidae. The record is from RNAcentral.